RNAcentral lists this ribosomal RNA (386 nucleotides) under Escherichia coli. RNAcentral describes it as "bacterial SSU rRNA". It matches the Rfam family "Bacterial small subunit ribosomal RNA", at positions 1156 to 1533 of the family's 1533-position model. Lineage: Bacteria; Pseudomonadati; Pseudomonadota; Gammaproteobacteria; Enterobacterales; Enterobacteriaceae. The record is from RNAcentral.
UGACAAACCGGAGGAAGGUGGGGAUGACGUCAAAUCAUCAUGCCCCUUAUGACCUGGGCUACACACGUGCUACAAUGGACAGAACAAAGGGCUGCGAGACCGCAAGGUUUAGCCAAUCCCACAAAUCUGUUCUCAGUUCGGAUCGCAGUCUGCAACUCGACUGCGUGAAGCUGGAAUCGCUAGUAAUCGCGGAUCAGCAUGCCGCGGUGAAUACGUUCCCGGGCCUUGUACACACCGCCCGUCACACCACGAGAGUUUGCAACACCCGAAGUCGGUGAGGUAACCUUUAUGGAGCCAGCCGCCGAAGGUGGGGCAGAUGAUUGGGGUGAAGUCGUAACAAGGUAGCCGUAUCGGAAGGUGCGGCUGGAUCACCUCCUUUCUAAGGA